This 474-nucleotide long non-coding RNA is filed under the name Numida meleagris (helmeted guineafowl). RNAcentral's name for it is "lncRNA (ENSNMEG00000004834.1)". The record is from RNAcentral. Lineage: Eukaryota; Metazoa; Chordata; Aves; Galliformes; Numididae.
AGAUGAAGCUGUCAAUCAGAUGGGGCUGUGAAUCAGAUGCAGUUGUCAAUGGGACAGAGGUGUCAAUCGGACAGGGCCGUCAAUCGGAGUCAUCAUCAAGAUGACAUUGUCAAUCACAUUGGGCUGUCAAUCGGACAGAGCUGUCAAUCGGACAGGGCCGUCAACCGGAGUUAUCAGCAAGAUGAAGCUGUCAAUCAGAUGGGGCUGUCAAUCAGAUGGGGCUGUCAAUCGGACAGAGGUGUUAAUAGGACAGGGCCGUCAAUCAGAGUCAUCAUCAAGAUGACAUUGUCAAUCAGAUGGGGCUGUCAAUGGGACAGAGGUGUCAAUCGGACAGGGCCAUCAAUCGGACAGGGCCGUCAACCGGAGUCAUCAUCAAGGUGAAGCUGUCAAUCAAUCACAUUGGGCUGUCAAUUGGACAGAGGGGUCAAUGGGACAGAGGUGUCAAUCGGACAGGGCCAUCAAUUGGAGUUAUCG